UGAGUAACCUGCCCUUAACUCUGGGAUAAGCCUGGGAAACUGGGUCCAAUACCGGAUAUGACUCCUCAUCGCAUGGUGGGGGUGGAAAGCUUUAUUGUGGUUUUGGAUGGACUCGCGGCCUAUCAGCUUGUUGGUGAGGUAAGGCUCACCAAGGCGACGACGGGUAGCCGGCCUGAGAGGGCGACCGGCCACACUGGGACUGAGACACGGCCCAGACUCCUACGGGAGGCAG
RNAcentral lists this ribosomal RNA (232 nucleotides) under uncultured bacterium. RNAcentral describes it as "partial 16S ribosomal RNA". It matches the Rfam family "Bacterial small subunit ribosomal RNA", at positions 118 to 351 of the family's 1533-position model. The record is from RNAcentral.